GUUGUAUGGUUAAGUGACUAAGCGUACAUGGUGGAUGCCUUGGCAGUCAGAGGCGAUGAAGGACGUACUAACCUGCGAUAAGCCGUGAGCAGUCGGUAAGAGACAUUACGACUCACGGAUUUCCGAAUGGGGAAACCCACCUAGCAUAAGCUGGGUAUCGCUACGUGAAUACAUAGCGUAGCGAGGCGAACCGGGAGAACUGAAACAUCUAAGUACCCCGAGGAAAAGAAAUCAACCGAGAUUCCCUCA
RNAcentral lists this ribosomal RNA (249 nucleotides) under Aeromonas taiwanensis. RNAcentral's name for it is "partial 23S ribosomal RNA". It matches the Rfam family "Bacterial large subunit ribosomal RNA", at positions 1 to 242 of the family's 2925-position model. The record is from RNAcentral. Lineage: Bacteria; Pseudomonadati; Pseudomonadota; Gammaproteobacteria; Aeromonadales; Aeromonadaceae.